UUCGUAGGCGGUGCGGCAAGUCGGGAGUGAAAUCUCUGGGCUUAACUCAGGGGCUGCUUCCGAAACUGCCGUGCUCGAGUGUGGGAGAGGCGCGUGGAAUUGCAGGUGUAGCGGUGAAAUGCGUAGAUAUCUGCAGGAACACCCGUGGCGAAAGCGGCGCGCUGGACCACAACUGACGCUGAGGAACGAAAGCUAGGGGAGCAAACAGGAUUAGAUACCCUGGUAGUCCUAGCCCUAAACGAUCAGGACUUGGGGUGCGCCCGUUCGGGCGUCGUCCCGGAGCUAACGCGUUAAGUCCUGCACCUGGGGAGUACGGUCGCAAGACUGAA
This 329-nucleotide ribosomal RNA is filed under the name uncultured bacterium. RNAcentral's name for it is "bacterial SSU rRNA". It matches the Rfam family "Bacterial small subunit ribosomal RNA", at positions 568 to 898 of the family's 1533-position model. The record is from RNAcentral.